RNAcentral lists this ribosomal RNA (124 nucleotides) under Ipomoea nil (Japanese morning glory). The record is from RNAcentral. Lineage: Eukaryota; Viridiplantae; Streptophyta; Magnoliopsida; Solanales; Convolvulaceae.
GGAUGCGAUCAUACCAGCACUAAUGCACCGGAUCCCAUCAGAACUCCGAAGUCGAAGUUAAGCGUGCUUGGGCGAGAGUAGUACUAGGAUGGGUGACCCCCUGGGAAGUCCUCGUUUGCAUCCC